UGGGGAAUUUUGGACAAUGGGCGCAAGCCUGAUCCAGCCAUUCCGCGUGCAGGAUGAAGACCCUCGGGUUGUAAACUGCUUUUGUACGGAACGAAAAAGCCCUUUCUAAUACAGAGGGUCCAUGACGGUACCGUAAGAAUAAGCACCGGCUAACUACGUGCCAGCAGCCGCGGUAAUACGUAGGGUGCAAGCGUUAAUCGGAAUUACUGGGCGUAAAGCGUGCGCAGGCGGCGAUGUAAGACAGGUGUGAAAUCCCCGGGCUUAACCUGGGAACUGCAUUUGUGACUGCAUCGCUGGAGUGCGGCAGAGGGGGAUGGAAUUCCGCGUGUAGCAGUGAAAUGCCUAGAUAUGCGGAGGAACACCGAUGGCGAAGGCAAUCCCCUGGGCCUGCACUGACGCUCAUGCACGAAAGCGUGGGGAGCAAACAG
RNAcentral lists this ribosomal RNA (428 nucleotides) under uncultured bacterium. RNAcentral's name for it is "bacterial SSU rRNA". It matches the Rfam family "Bacterial small subunit ribosomal RNA", at positions 355 to 775 of the family's 1533-position model. The record is from RNAcentral.